AUAUAUAUAUAUAUAUAUAUAUAUGAACUUGUUAAAGCCAUACCCUCUUUCGAUUGAAUGAUUCAAAUUAUGCUAGUCUUAUGUUUCUAAUCUCAUUCUCAUCCCAUAUUUCCAAUUUUGCAUUUCUAUACUCCAAUCUCUCUCCCUAUCCUUGUGUCAACUCUACCUCCAUACCUUCCCUCCCCAAUUCCACUUCUUUUCUUGAUCCUCUCUAAUCCCACUCCUUCUCUUUACCAUCUCCGAUCCCACUUAUAUUUUCACUUUCUCCAAUCCCACUCAUAUGUUCUCUUUUUCAAAUACCACUCCCAUCUCCUCCCUCUCCAAUCUCACUUCCAUAUCUU
Molecule: long non-coding RNA, 341 nt
Filed under: Physcomitrium patens
Lineage: Eukaryota; Viridiplantae; Streptophyta; Bryopsida; Funariales; Funariaceae
Description: long non-coding RNA (PPAT_LNC008132)
Source: RNAcentral